Molecule: ribosomal RNA, 732 nt
Filed under: Triticum aestivum (bread wheat)
Lineage: Eukaryota; Viridiplantae; Streptophyta; Magnoliopsida; Poales; Poaceae
Description: partial small subunit ribosomal RNA
Source: RNAcentral
AAAAUAUUGAUGGCAGAUUGGUUUCUGCAGCGACAUUUCAAGAUUGGCACUGACCUGAAUAAAAUACGGAACAUUGGCAACUACAAUAUUGAGAUGUGGAAAGCAACUGGUAUGAACCUUGACAAAGUAGAGGUUGUAUGGUUGUCAGAUGAAUUGAAUUGCCACGCGGUUAAUUACUGGCCACUUGCGGUUGAUGUCUCCAGAAAAUACAGCAUGGAAAAAAUGGCAAGUUAUUGUCGGAACAGGACAUAUGGGCCACAAGGACUACCUGCUGCUGAGAUUUUCUACCCUUGCAUGCAGGUUGCUGCUAUAUUAUGCCAGAAGGCUGACAUAUGGCUCUUCAGCAUGGAUCAGCGAGACAUUGUCAUGCUAGCUAAGGAUUACUCCGAAGAAAUAAAUAGGGAAACCAAACCAGCUAUCAUACUGCAUAAUACGUUACCUCUUUUACCAGAAGACCCUGACUUGAACUCGCUGAGAUAUCCAGCGCGGACUCUGUUCAUGGACGAUGCACAGGAGGCUUCAAAUAGGAAAAUAGAGUUGGCUUUCUGCCCACCAAAAGUAACAGUGUCUAACCCAUUUCUGGAGUACAUCAGAUAUGUUAUAUUCCCUUGGUUUGGAAAAUUGGAGGUAGCUGACAAGAAAGGGAAUGGCAGUAGCAAGACAUAUGCAAGCAUGGAAGAUUUUGUUGUUGACUAUGGAAGUGGCAAUCUUGAUUCUGCUGAUGUUAAGCUG